GGGCAAAAGAACCAAAACUAAUUUCGUUAAAAUAUUUAAUAUACAAUAAUAACUAUCAUCUAAUUUACACCUUGUCUAAAAAGGUAAAAGAAAAAAAUUAGAGAAGUUUAUGCUAAAAAGGCGUAUAGUGGUACGUAAUACAUUCCUCCUCGCACAUAUUAUAUUGCUUUCAAGUUCCAUGACCUCCUCCCUCCCAACUGUUCAAGAAAAUACUAUUAACUCUCAAUAAACUUUCUUUUUCUUUUCUUUUGUAAAUCAUUGUCAUUUCUUAUUACAAGUAAGCUUCAUGUAAACUCAAACCAUAUAAUAAUUCAACAUAGAGAAGAAAAACUCGUAACAUUGAAUUUAAAAAAUACUACGUACCAAAUAGAUGUCGGGUUAAGCUUGCUAUCUCAUUUUGAAGCUUGGAAACCUUCUCAAUUACAAUAGCGUCUUCCAAAUUUAUUUAGAAACUGGCCACACACACCCUAAUAGUGGAAUACUGAAAGGUACCAGAAAGAGUAACAAUAUGGCAUCAAUUUAAACAUUUCAUCAAUUUAAUUUGGGAUAUAAAAAGGUAUAUAAGUUCCAAAGAUUGACUUUUGGGCUUCUAAAUUAAUAAGGUAAAAUAAAAAAUAAAAAAAAAACAUAUGAAAAAUACUAUACAAAGAGAUAUUUUUAGAAAAAGGAAGAAGAUUGAGCGAGGAUUUCAUGUAUUGGGGUUGUACUUUGUAGCACAAGCAUCAGAAGACAUUUUCUUCACCAUCGGUCUCUUACCUAGUUUGCUUGCACUGCAAAAUUUUUUGAUACAGUUGGUUGUGUCAUCUUCGUCCAUCAUUUCUUUGCGGUGUACUAUGCAAGAGCAAAACGAAAUGUCUGGAUUUUAAGAAACGCAAAAGAAAUGGAAAGAUAGGAGGAAUGGAGGAUGAAUCGUUUUUGUCAAAUAAGGUCCCGUCUUUCAAUAUAUUUUGCUCGAAUGUCUCCUUUAAUUCAGUAACGUCCAAGGAUAAAAGAAAUUUAGUAACGUAAGGC
RNAcentral lists this long non-coding RNA (1011 nucleotides) under Nicotiana tabacum (common tobacco). Its description in RNAcentral is "long non-coding RNA (NTAB_LNC018922)". Lineage: Eukaryota; Viridiplantae; Streptophyta; Magnoliopsida; Solanales; Solanaceae. The record is from RNAcentral.